RNAcentral lists this long non-coding RNA (526 nucleotides) under Bos taurus (domestic cattle). RNAcentral's name for it is "long non-coding RNA NONBTAT006267". The record is from RNAcentral. Lineage: Eukaryota; Metazoa; Chordata; Mammalia; Artiodactyla; Bovidae.
GUAAAUCUUAGCUACGCCGCUGCUGGUGGAUUAAUCUGUUUAUGCAGUUAGCCUCUAUGCUGGGUCGGUGUAGCACUAAUCCGUGAAAGGCCCACUGUUCUCUUUCAUCCUGCGAUCAUUUGUCUCUCACUGUGCUGAUGUCACAUUUUAAUGAAUUUUUAGCAAUCUGAGUAAUGCCAGAUAACCAGACUUGCAACUCCCCACAGCAUGGCAUGCUGUUUUCAUUGCGGCACAAAAAAUAAAAAUCCUAUUCCCCUGUUCAGGUAGGAAUUACAUAAAUUAGGAGAAGAAGGUAAAAUGGGAUUUGAAGCACCAGGCUCCUCAAUUUCAUAAAAUCUUUAAUGACCAUAUAAAUUAACCCUGGAAAGGCAAAAGGUCACUGACACCCAUUUGCAUACACUCUUCUAUUUGCUUUUGAUAAGCAGAGCUUUUAUGCAGAGAACAUGAUACAAUUAACCCUUCAAGAACCGUACAAAACGCGACUCUGGACAUUUUAAGUGUCAAGCAUUAACUGAAAAUUACACAC